CCUACGGGCGGCAGCAGUGAGGAAUAUUGGUCAAUGGCCGAGAGGCUGAACCAGCCAAGUCGCGUGAGGGAAGACGGCCCUACGGGUUGUAAACCUCUUUUGUCGGGGAACAAAGGCGUCCACGUGUGGACUGAUGAGUGUACCCGAAGAAAAAGCAUCGGCUAACUCCGUGCCAGCAGCCGCGGUAAUCCGGAGGAUGCGGGCGUUAUCCGGAUUUCUUGGGUUUAAAGGGUGCGUAGGCGGACAGUCAAGUCAGCGGUAAAAAUGCGGUGCUCAACGCCGUACAGCCGUUGAAACUGGCAGUCUUGAGUGGGCGAGAAGUAUGCGGAAUGCGUGGUGUAGCGGUGAAAUGCAUAGAUAUCACGCAGAACUCCGAUUGCGAAGGCAGCAUACCGGCGCCCGACUGACGCUGAGGCACGAAAGCGUGGGUAUCGAACAGGAUUAGAUACCCGGGUAGUC
RNAcentral lists this ribosomal RNA (459 nucleotides) under uncultured bacterium. RNAcentral describes it as "partial 16S ribosomal RNA". It matches the Rfam family "Bacterial small subunit ribosomal RNA", at positions 338 to 795 of the family's 1533-position model. The record is from RNAcentral.